Long non-coding RNA from Symphalangus syndactylus (siamang), 689 nucleotides. RefSeq lists it as uncharacterized. The record is from RefSeq and is a predicted model, not a curated record. Lineage: Eukaryota; Metazoa; Chordata; Mammalia; Primates; Hylobatidae.
ACCCUCUCCCUUCCCUACCCAGUGCCCCGUCUAAGUCCCCACUCGGAAGUGGAUUCUCACCCCUCACGGCCCUUUGUGGGCAACGCCAGGAGGAGGAAGGCCGCAACCUCCCACUGGCUUUGGGGUUUCUUAGACAUCAGUAGUCUUCUAAGGCCCUCCACCCUGCCCGCACCCCUCCUUCAUCCUCGCGUCUCUUAGGACCCUGCCCUGCUGCCCUCAGGCCUUUCCUUAGUCACAGACUCGGGAAGGCACCUGAACUCCCUCGGCUUGGACAUCACCGGCCACAGUCCUGUGACGCCCUGUGAUCUUCUGUCCCAGAUCUCAUUCCACUGGCUGUGCCUGUCAGGGUGUGCUUAGAUUUUGGUGUCCCAAUCCAAACUCCCUUCAUUCCAACUUCCACCAAGACCGCUUCUCUGGAUCCAUCCCUGGAGUUGACACAACAGGGAUCUUCAGCCCCAGAAAGCCCUUGGGACGUUCUCCUUGAAGCUCCCCUAAGUGGGAGUAGAAGUUCAUCUCCUGACACUCCACGUUUUAUUCAUGAGUCCUGAGUUAUGACACAGAGGACACAGUUGUGUUCCCCUUACUGUGGACUAGCAGAUAAAGCACCUUAAUCUCUCAGCCACCAUGCAAACCCUUCUUAUCUUUGAUUCAGUAUACUUUUCCACAAGCAAAAUAAAAGUUCUGACUAA